This 351-nucleotide unclassified non-coding RNA is filed under the name soil metagenome. RNAcentral describes it as "partial contains 5.8S ribosomal RNA, internal transcribed spacer 2, and large subunit ribosomal RNA". The stretch from base 1 to 120 matches the Rfam family "5.8S ribosomal RNA", at positions 35 to 154 of the family's 154-position model. The record is from RNAcentral.
GAUGAAGAACGUAGCGAAAUGCGAUAAGUAAUGUGAAUUGCAGAAUUCCGUGAAUCAUCGAAUCUUUGAACGCACAUUGCGCCCUCUGGUAUUCCGGGGGGCAUGCCUGUCCGAGCGUCAUUGCAACCCUCAAGCGCGGCUUGUGUGUUGGGUCUUCGUCCCCCGUGGACGUGCCCGAAAUGCAGUGGCGGCGUCGUGUUCCGGUGCCCGAGCGUAUGGGGCUUUGUCACCCGCUCUUGGAGGCCCGGCCGGCGCUUGCCCAUCGACCAUCGAGGACUCGUUCCUCAACCAGGUUGACCUCGGAUCAGGUAGGGAUACCCGCUGAACUUAAGCAUAUCAAUAAGCGGAGGA